AGUGAACGCUGGCGGUAGGCCUAACACAUGCAAGUCGAACGGCAGCACAGUAAGAGCUUGCUCUUACGGGUGGCGAGUGGCGGACGGGUGAGGAAUACAUCGGAAUCUACUUUUUCGUGGGGGAUAACGUAGGGAAACUUACGCUAAUACCGCAUACGACCUACGGGUGAAAGCAGGGGAUCUUCGGACCUUGCGCGAUUGAAUGAGCCGAUGUCGGAUUAGCUAGUUGGCGGGGUAAAGGCCCACCCAGGCGACGAUCCGUAGCUGGUCUGAGAGGAUGGUCGGCCACACGGGAGCUGGGACACGGUCCAGGCUCCUACGGGAGGCAGCAGUGGGGAAUAUUGGACAAUGGGCGCAAGCCUGAUCCAGCCAUACCGCGUGGGUGAAGAAGGCCUUCGGGUUGUAAAGCCCUUUUGUUGGGAAAGAAAAGCAGCAGGUUAAUACCCCGCUGUUCUGACGGUACCCAAAGAAUAAGCACCGGCUAACUUCGUG
This 492-nucleotide ribosomal RNA is filed under the name uncultured bacterium. RNAcentral describes it as "partial 16S ribosomal RNA". It matches the Rfam family "Bacterial small subunit ribosomal RNA", at positions 29 to 507 of the family's 1533-position model. The record is from RNAcentral.